AUGGUGUCAGAAUGGCACAGACUCCCCAGCUUUUUCACAAAACCCUUGUCCUUAAGGUACUUAGUACAUCUCAAGGCUGGAUUGCUGUAUGGUCCAAUUUACAGAAAAGUGCUAUUUUUCUUUGCACAAGUCAUCAUCCAUAUCAUCCUACUCCUACUUCUGCUGCACCAAUCUGCAGGUAGUUACUUUGGUUGCCAAAAACUUCAAUGCGGAAAAUGGUCUCUGUACCCACCCAUUCAGCCCAGAGAGAAGAGUUCCCUUCCUUGUUCCAUGUGGUGGAGGGUCACUCAGUCUUUUUUUGGAAUGAGCUCCUGGAGAAACUGCAAGUUCACAGAAAACAGCCACAAAAUUUUGAAUACUAACAAAUCUAGGCCUUGGGAUUCUGAGUGAUGUGGAUUUACUACUCCAUUUUAAUUAUUUUACUAGAAUUCAGUAUAAAUGUUAGAUCUGAAACAUCACAAAUGUUCCAGGUAAUACAAAUACAAAAUAAAAGGCUAUGGGAGGUUAUGUUUAAGGAGAAU
Molecule: long non-coding RNA, 521 nt
Filed under: Anas platyrhynchos platyrhynchos (common mallard)
Lineage: Eukaryota; Metazoa; Chordata; Aves; Anseriformes; Anatidae
Description: lncRNA (ENSAPLG00000025570.1)
Source: RNAcentral